RNAcentral lists this ribosomal RNA (405 nucleotides) under uncultured bacterium. RNAcentral's name for it is "partial 16S ribosomal RNA". It matches the Rfam family "Bacterial small subunit ribosomal RNA", at positions 30 to 526 of the family's 1533-position model. The record is from RNAcentral.
AUUGAACGCUGGCGGCAGGCUUAACACAUGCAAGUCGAACGAGUGGCGGACGGGUGAGUAAUGCUUGGGAAUCUGGCUUAUGGAGGGGGAUAACGACGGGAAACUGUCGCUAAUACCGCGUACCCAAGGAUGAGCCCAAGUGGGAUUAGGUAGUGGGGGGGGUAAGGGCCUACCAAGCCGACGAACUCUAGCUGGUCUGAGAGGAUGACCGGCCACACCGGGACUGAGCCACGGCCCGGACUCCUCCGGGAGGCAGCAGUGGUGAAUAUUGCGCAAUGGGGGCAACCUGACGCAGCCAUGCCGCGUGAAUGAAGAAGGCCUUCGGGUUGUAAAGUUCUUUCGGUGACGAGGCGUUAAUCACAGAAGAAGCACUGGCUAACUCCGUGCCAGCCGCCGCGGUAAUAC